RNAcentral lists this ribosomal RNA (259 nucleotides) under uncultured bacterium. RNAcentral describes it as "partial 16S ribosomal RNA". It matches the Rfam family "Bacterial small subunit ribosomal RNA", at positions 524 to 776 of the family's 1533-position model. The record is from RNAcentral.
UACGGGGGGUGCGAGCGUUGUCCGGAAUCACUGGGCGUAAAGCGCGCGCAGGCGGCCUCUUAAGUCUGAUGUGAAAGCCCCCCGGCUCAACCGGGGGGAGGGCCUUGGAAAACUGGGGAGGCUUGAGUAUAGGAGAGAAGAGUGGAAUUCCACGUGUAGCGGUGAAAUGCGUAGAGAUGUGGAGGAACACCAGUGGCGAAGGCGACUCUUUGGCCUAUAACUGACGCUGAGGCGCGAAAGCGUGGGGGAGCAAAACAGG